This 2272-nucleotide ribosomal RNA is filed under the name human gut metagenome. Its description in RNAcentral is "bacterial LSU rRNA". It matches the Rfam family "Bacterial large subunit ribosomal RNA", at positions 1 to 2309 of the family's 2925-position model. The record is from RNAcentral.
UCAAGCAUUAAGAGCGCAGGGUGGAUGCCUUGGCACUGAGAGCCGAUGAAGGACGUGAUAAGCUGCGAAAAGCUUCGGGGAGGAGCAAAUAUCCAUUGAUCCGGAGAUAUCCGAAUGGGGAAACCCACUUGAGCAAACCUCAAGUAUCCAUACGCCAAUCCAUAACGUAUGGAAGGGAACCGGGGGAACUGAAACAUCUAAGUACCCCGAGGAGAAGAAAGAAACCUCGAUUUCCAAAGUAGCGGCGAGCGAAAUGGAAAGAGCCCAAACCGUGGUGCGUGCACCGCGGGGUUGUGGACUGCAUAAGGUACUCGAAUCAAUAGCCGAACAGUUUUGGGAAAUCUGAUCAGAGAGGGUGAAAAUCCCGUAGGCGAAAUUGAUGAGAGGCUGGCAGGAUCCAGAGUACCACGAGACACGGGAAACCUUGUGGGAAGCAGGAGGGACCACCCUCCAAGGCUAAAUACUCCUCAGUGACCGAUAGCGCAUAGUACUGUGAAGGAAAGGUGAAAAGGACCCCGGGAGGGGAGUGAAAGAGAACCUGAAACCCUGUGUUUACAAGCUGUGGAAGUGCCUUAUGUGCACAACCGCGUACUUUUUGUAGAACGGUCCGGCGAGUUACGUUUACUGGCAAGGUUAAGCACUGCAGGUGCGGAGCCGAAGGGAAACCAAGUCUUAAGAGGGCGUGAAGUCAGUAAGAGUAGACCCGAAACCGGGUGAUCUACCCAUGUCCAGGCUGAAGCUGCCGUAAGAGGUAGUGGAGGGCCGAACGCACAUCCGUUGAAAAGGGUGGCGAUGAGGUGUGGGUAGGGGAGAAAUUCCAAUCGAACCCGGAGAUAGCUGGUUCUCCUCGAAAUAGCUUUAGGGCUAGCCUCGAUUUAGUCUUAUGGAGGUAGAGCACUGAAUUUCCGCGGGGGCGUCAAAGCUUACCAAAGAAUAUCAAACUCCGAAUGCCAUGUAGAUGAUGAAUGGGAGUCAGACUGCACGAGAUAAGUUGGGCAGUCAAAAGGGAAAGAGCCCAGACCUGCUGCUAAGGUCCCAAAGUACGUGUUAAGUGGAAAAGGAUGUGGGAUUUCGAAGACAACUAGGAUGUUGGCUCAGAAGCAGCCACACAUUCAAAGAGUGCGUAAUAGCUCACUAGUCGAGAGGUCCUGCGCCGAAAAUGUCCGGGGCUGAAACACAACACCGAAGCUGCGGAAUUGCGAAUGCAAUUGGUAGAGGAGCAUUCUUAAUACCGACGAAGCUGUACCGGAAGGAGCAGUGGAGGGAUAAGAAGAGAGAAUGCCGGAAUGAGUAGCGAGAGAGAGGUGGGAAUCCUCUCGGCCGAAUAUCCAAGGUUUCCAGGGUAAAGCUGAUCUGCCCUGGGUAAGUCGGGGCCUAAGGAGAGGCAGAAAUGCGUAUCCGAUGGACAGCAGGUUGAGAUUCCUGCACUAUCUUAAAACAGAACUGUGGGGACAUUUGUGGAGAGCACAGGCGCGGAACGGAAAGCCGCGUGCAAGCGAAGGAGGAGUCACAUAGGAAAAACCGUGUGGCAAUCCAGAGGCGUGAUGCGGACCGAACUAAAGUAGGGAAGUGUGUGAGCCAUGAAUCAAGAAAAGCCGCUAUUGUUUUUAAGAUACCCGUACCGUAAACCGACACAGGUGGAUGAGGAGAGAAUCCUAAGGCCGGCGGAAGAAGCAUUGUUAAGGAACUCGGCAAAAUGACCCCGUAACUUCGGGAGAAGGGGUGCCUGCGAGAGCAGGCCGCAGAGAAUAGGCUCAAGCAACUGUUUAGCAAAAACACAGGUCUAUGCAAAACCGAAAGGUGAGGUAUAUGGGCUGACGCCUGCCCGGUGCUGGAAGGUUAAGAGGAGAGGUUAGCGCAAGCGAAGCUUUGAAUUUAAGCCCCAGUAAACGGCGGCCGUAACUAUAACGGUCCUAAGGUAGCGAAAUUCCUUGUCGGGUAAGUUCCGACCCGCACGAAAGGCGUAAUGAUUUGAGCGCUGUCUCGACAAUGCAUCCGGUGAAAUUGAAGUACCAGUGAAGAUGCUGGUUACCCGCGCCAGGACGGAAAGACCCCAUGGAGCUUUACUCCAGUUUGGUACUGGGGUCCGGCAGUGCAUGUACAGGAUAGGUGGGAGGCUGUGAACCUGGAACGCCAGUUUCAGGGGAGCCAUUGUUGGGAUACCACCCUUGUGCUGCUGGGCUUCUAACCAGCGGCCUUUAUCAGGCCGGGGGACAAUGCCAGACGGGGAGUUUGACUGGGGCGGUCGCCUCCGAAAGGGUAUCGGAGGCGC